Molecule: non-coding RNA, 1841 nt
Organism: Jatropha curcas
Lineage: Eukaryota; Viridiplantae; Streptophyta; Magnoliopsida; Malpighiales; Euphorbiaceae
Source: RefSeq, a predicted model, not a curated record
UUUCACUUUCUAGAACUUUCCUUUCCAUUCUCAUAUAAACUCACACUCUCCCUCUCUCCUCUGAUCAGCAAACAACACUCGCAAAGCACAAAAUUUUCUUCUCUAAACUCGAAUUCAAACAAAAACUUUAACCCUCAAUUGAAAAUUCAGUACUAAACCUUACUCGAAUGAAUUGAAAAUUCAAUUGCAAGCAACCCACGCAGACCAAAUAAUGGAGGAUUUGGUUGCAGUGAAAGAAGAGAAGGAAACAGUGACAUAUACUGCAGGUGUGUCUUCUUCUUCAUCAUCUUCAAGUUUCCCGCCUCAGCCAAUGGAAGGGUUACACGAGAUUGGUCCGCCUCCAUUUCUGACCAAGACAUUUGAAAUGGUGGAAGACCCAUCAACUGAUACGGUGGUUUCAUGGAGUGGAGCUCGUAAUAGCUUCAUUGUUUGGGACUCUCAUAAGUUCUCCACUAUGCUGCUUCCGAAGUAUUUCAAGCACAGCAACUUCUCCAGCUUCAUUCGCCAGCUCAACACAUAUGGUUUCAGAAAGGUUGAUCCUGACAGAUGGGAAUUUGCAAAUGAAGGGUUUUUAGGAGGGCAGAAGCAUCUACUGAAGACCAUCAAGAGGAGAAGACACGUCUCGCAAAGUAUGCAACAGCAGAGUGCAGGAGCUUGUGUAGAAUUAGGAGAAUUUGGAUUGGAAGGUGAGAUUGAAAGAUUAAAGAGAGAUCGAAAUGUACUAAUGGCAGAAAUAAUGAGGCUUAGGCAGCACCAACAGCAGUCGAGGGAACAAAUUGCUGCCGUGGAGGAUAGGUUACAGAGUACAGAGAAAAAACAGCAGCAAAUAAUGACAUUUCUUGCCAAAGCUCUCAACAAUCCAUCCUUUAUCCAGCAAUUCGCUCAGAUGACCGCACACAAGAAAGAACUACGACGUGUUGGAAUUGGAUGCAAGCGCAGACUUACUGCGAGUACAAGUGUCGAAAAUUUGCAAGAAGCUGGUUCUAUGGAUAUGGGUGUUGGCCAAGUUGCUGAUUACACAGAUCAAGCAUUAGGAACUAUGGAAACUGAGAUAGAAACAUUAUUCUCAGCUGCCUUGGACGAUGAAUCGAGCAGUGACGUGAGGGACCCAACAGCAGGUUCUGCACAAGGGGCAAGUGGUGUGGCUAAUUUGGAUUCUGUUAAUGAGACUAUUUGGGAGGAAUUAUUGAAUGAUGAUGUAAUUACCUGCAAUCCUGAUGAAGAAAUUGUUAUUCUUGAUGAUGAACCGGAAAUCGAUGUAGAAGUUGAAGAUUUGGUUGCCAAUCCUGAAGAUUGGGGUGAGGAAUUGCAAGACCUUGUGGAUCAAAUGGGUUAUUUAAGGUCAAAGACAUGAUUUAACAGAAUGGAUUUGACAUUGUUCUGAGUUGGUCUCUGCAACUCCAUUCCUGUUUUUAUAAUGGGAGUGGUGGAAGUUGCUGUGGGGCCAACAUUUGUUCCUGUUCUUCUGUAUCCUUUACUGAUAAUCUAAUUCUUAAAAAUUCCUUUAUUAUUUUUUUUUCUAACGCAAUUUAUUUCAGUAGUCAAGCAAUUUGGUGGUUCUAUUGAUUCUUCUCUACUGCAUUUUGCAGGCGAACUGGCCAACGAAGAAGAUCUUUAAGGAGUUUCAAUUCUUGAACUUUUAUGACAAGUUGCUGUGUAUACAUGUUCAUUUGCUAAACUCUUCAGAGGCUAUUGUGUAUUCUGUUGCUGUACAUAACUCUACACAGAACAGUUGCUUUGCUAAAAUAUUAAAUAGUCUGCUGAAUUAAUUUUGUAAUGAAAAUUUUUGACAGGAAAAUUAAUAUCAGUGAUCUGUGUAGAUUCGGUUUAUAGUCUAUUCA